GGCAGGUAGAGCCUAGUGGUUAGAGGAGGCAGGUAGAGCCUAGUGGUUAGAGGAGGCAGGUAGAGCCUAGUGGUUAGAGGAGACAGGUAGCCUAGUGGUUAGAGGCAGGUAGCCUAGUGGUUAGAGGAGGCAGGUAGAGCCUAGUGGUUAGAGGAGGCAGGUAGCCUAGUGGUUAGAGGAGACAGGUAGAGCCUAGUGGUUAGAGGAGACAGGUAGAGCCUAGUGGUUAGAGGAGGCAGGUAGCCUAGUGGUUAGAGGAGGCAGGUAGCCUAGUGGUUAGAGGAGGCAGGUAGCCUAGUGGUUAGAGGAGGCAGGUAGCCUAGUGUUUAGAGGCAGGUAGCCUAGUGGUUAGAGGAGGCAGGCAGUCUAGUGGUUAGAGGUGGCAGGUAGCCUAGUGGUUAGAGGAGACAGG
Molecule: long non-coding RNA, 412 nt
Organism: Oncorhynchus tshawytscha (Chinook salmon)
Lineage: Eukaryota; Metazoa; Chordata; Actinopteri; Salmoniformes; Salmonidae
Source: Ensembl